Molecule: ribosomal RNA, 253 nt
Filed under: uncultured bacterium
Lineage: Bacteria
Description: partial 16S ribosomal RNA
Rfam family: Bacterial small subunit ribosomal RNA
Source: RNAcentral
UACAGAGGGUGCAAGCGUUGUUCGGAAUUAUUGGGCGUAAAGCGCGUGUAGGCGGCUUGGCAAGUCGGGUGUGAAAGCUCUCAGCUCAACUGAGAAAGUGCGCCCGAAACUGCUGAGCUUGAGUGCCGGAGAGGAUGGCGGAAUACCCCAAGUAGAGGUGAAAUUCGUAGAUAUGGGGUGGAACACCGGUGGCGAAGGCGGCCAUCUGGACGGUAACUGACGCUGAGACGCGAAAGCGUGGGUAGCAAACAGG